This 376-nucleotide ribosomal RNA is filed under the name uncultured bacterium. RNAcentral describes it as "partial 16S ribosomal RNA". It matches the Rfam family "Bacterial small subunit ribosomal RNA", at positions 355 to 723 of the family's 1533-position model. The record is from RNAcentral.
UGGGGAAUAUUGGACAAUGGGCGAAAGCCUGAUCCAGCCAUGCCGCGUGUGUGAAGAAGGUCUUCGGAUUGUAAAGCACUUUAAGUUGGGAGGAAGGGCAUUAACCUAAUACGUUAGUGUUUUGACGUUACCGACAGAAUAAGCACCGGCUAACUCUGUGCCAGCAGCCGCGGUAAUACAGAGGGUGCAAGCGUUAAUCGGAAUUACUGGGCGUAAAGCGCGCGUAGGUGGUUUGUUAAGUUUGAUGUGAAAUCCCCGGGCUCAACCUGGGAACUGCAUUCAAAACUGACUGACUAGAGUAUGGUAGAGGGUGGUGGAAUUUCCUGUGUAGCGGUGAAAUGCGUAGAUAUAGGAAGGAACACCAGUGGCGAAGGCG